Molecule: ribosomal RNA, 1238 nt
Filed under: wastewater metagenome
Description: bacterial LSU rRNA
Rfam family: Archaeal large subunit ribosomal RNA
Source: RNAcentral
AGAACCGACACAGGUGCCCCUCGCUGAAGAGGUGAAGGCGUGUCGGAUUUAAAUGUAGUUAAGGGAACUCGGCAAAUUAGCCCCGUAACUUCGGGAGAAGGGGUGCCUGCCUGGAGAUCAGGCAGGUCGCAGUGACCAGGGAGCUCUAACUGUCUAAUAACAACAUAGGUGACUGCAACUCGGAAACGACUAGUAUAGUCACUGAUUCCUGCCCAGUGCGAGUAUCUGAAAACCCAGUACAAUGGGACGAAGGACUCGUAAACGGCGGGGGUAACUAUGACCCUCUUAAGGUAGCGUAGUACCUUGUCGCUUAAUUGGCGACUUGCAUGAAUGGAUUAAUGAGAGCUCUACUGUCCCUAACACAAGCCCGUUGAACCUUUUGUCCUAGUGCAGAGACUAGGGACUCCUAUUGGGAAGUGAAGACCCCGUGGAGCUUUACUGCAGCCUGUCGCUGAAUUAUGGUAUUACAUGCGCAGUGUAGAUGGGAGGCGCUUGAUCCGUUCCUUUCGGGGGACGGGGAGCCAACAAUGAGACACCAUCCUUGUUUUACUGUAGUUCUCACUCUUACGAGGACAACGAUAGGUAGGCAGUUUGGGUGGGGCGCCACACCCUCGAAAAAAUAUCAAGGGUGCCCCAAGGUCAACUCAUGUGAGUCAGAAACUCACAGAAGAGUGUCAAGAGCAUAAGUUGGCCUGACGCGAUUAUGCAAAGCAAAUAAUCGCGAGAGGAAACUCGGGUCUAACGAACCAAUAUAGCCUUUUGGUGAGGCUUAUUGACUACAGAAAAGCUACCCCGGGGAUAACAGAGUCGUCGCCGGCAAGAGCACAUAUCGACCCGGCGGCUUGCUACCUCGAUGUCGGUUCUUUCCAUCCUGGCUGUGCAGCAGCAGCCAAGGGUGAGGUUGUUCGCCUAUUAAAGGGGAUCGUGAGCUGGGUUUAGACCGUCGUGAGACAGGUCGGUUACUAUCUAUCAGGAGUGUUUGGAGUCUGAGGGUAAGAAUGAAAUAGUACGAGAGGAACUUUCAUUCGGCGCCUCUAGUCGAUCGGUUGUCCGACAGGGCAGUGCCGAGCAGCCACGCGCCAAGGGAUAAAAGCUGAAAGCAUCUAAGCUUGAAACCCGGCCUAAAAAGAGACUCCGUUGAGGACAUGGGUAAAAGACCCGUUUGAUAGGCCUGGGAUGUACGCACGAAGGCAACGACGUGUUCAGUCCGCAGGUACUAACGUCCAAAUCCCCAGUGC